GUCAUAGUGAUCCGGUGGUUCUGAAUGGAAGGGCCAUCGCUCAACGGAUAAAAGGUACUCCGGGGAUAACAGGCUGAUACCGCCCAAGAGUUCAUAUCGACGGCGGUGUUUGGCACCUCGAUGUCGGCUCAUCACAUCCUGGGGCUGAAGUAGGUCCCAAGGGUAUGGCUGUUCGCCAUUUAAAGUGGUACGCGAGCUGGGUUUAGAACGUCGUGAGACAGUUCGGUCCCUAUCUGCCGUGGGCGCUGGAGAACUGAGGGGGGCUGCUCCUAGUACGAGAGGACCGGAGUGGACGCAUCACUGGUGUUCGGGUUGUCAUGCCAAUGGCACUGCCCGGUAGCUAAAUGCGGAAGAGAUAAGUGCUGAAAGCAUCUAAGCACGAAACUUGCCCCGAGAUGAGUUCUCCCUGAGACUUUAGGUCUCCUGAAGGAACGUUGAAGACGACGACGUUGAUAGGCCGGGUGUGUAAGCGCAGCGAUGCGUUGAGCUAACCGGUACUAAUGAACCGUGAGGCUUAACCUUACA
Molecule: ribosomal RNA, 525 nt
Filed under: Salmonella enterica
Lineage: Bacteria; Pseudomonadati; Pseudomonadota; Gammaproteobacteria; Enterobacterales; Enterobacteriaceae
Description: partial 23S ribosomal RNA
Rfam family: Bacterial large subunit ribosomal RNA
Source: RNAcentral